GUUGAUAGGUCGAAGGUGUAAGUGCAGCAAUGUAUUUAGCUUAUCGAUACUAAUAGGUCGAGGACUUGACCAA
Molecule: ribosomal RNA, 73 nt
Filed under: Clostridioides difficile
Lineage: Bacteria; Bacillati; Bacillota; Clostridia; Peptostreptococcales; Peptostreptococcaceae
Also listed under: 1 other name
Description: partial 23S ribosomal RNA
Rfam family: Bacterial large subunit ribosomal RNA
Source: RNAcentral